RNAcentral lists this ribosomal RNA (749 nucleotides) under uncultured archaeon. RNAcentral's name for it is "bacterial SSU rRNA". It matches the Rfam family "Archaeal small subunit ribosomal RNA", at positions 104 to 859 of the family's 1478-position model. The record is from RNAcentral.
ACAUCUGCCCUGAAGAAGAGAAUAAUCCCGGGAAACUGGGGGUAAUGCUCUAUAGUCCGGGAGGACUGGAAUGUUCUCCGGAUGAAAGAUCCGUCGCUUCAGGAUGAGUCUGCGGCCGAUUAGGUAGUUGUUGGGGUAAAAGCCCAACAAACCUGUAAUCGGUACGGGUUGUGGGAGCAAGAGCCCGGAGAUGGAUUCUGAGACACGAAUCCAGGCCCUACGGGGCGCAGCAGGCGCGAAAACUUUACAAUGCGGGCAACCGUGAUAAGGAAACCCCGAGUGCCAGCACAGGCUGGCUGUCCACCAGUGUAAACAACUGGUGAAGAAAGGGCCGGGCAAGACCGGUGCCAGCCGCCGCGGUAAUACCGGCGGCUCGAGUGGUGGCCGCUUUUACUGGGCUUAAAGGGUCCGUAGCUGGAUCCAUGGGUCCCUUGAGAAAUCCAUCAGCUUAACUGCUGGGCGUUCAGGGGAAACUGUGGUUCUAGGGACCGGGAGAGGUAAGAGGUACUGCCGGGGUAGGAGUGAAAUCCUGUAAUCCCGGUGGGACCACCUAUAGCGAAGGCAUCUUACCAGAACGGCUCCGACAGUGAGGGACGAAAGCUGGGGGAGCAAACCGGAUUAGAUACCCGGGUAGUCCCAGCUGUAAACGAUGCGCGUUAGGUGUGUCAGUGACCACGUGUCACUGAUGUGCCGAAGGGAAACUGUGAAACGCGCCGCCUGGGAAGUACGGUCGCAAGGCUGAAACUUAA